UGACGGUACCAUUCAAGAAAGCCACGGCUAACUACGUGCCAGCAGCCGCGGUAAUACGUAGGUGGCGAGCGUUAUCCGGAUUUAUUGGGCGUAAAGGGUGCGUAGGCGGUAUGUUAAGUAUAAAAUAAAAGCCCGAAGCUUAACUUCGGUUCGUUUUAUAAACUGGCAAACUAGAGUACAGUAGAGGCAAAUGGAAUUCCUAGUGUAGUGGUAAAAUGCGUAGAUAUUAGGAGGAACACCAGUGGCGAAGGCGAUUUGCUGGGCUGUAACUGACGCUGAGGCACGAAAGCGUGGGGAGCAAAUAGGAUUAGAUACCCUAGUAGUCCACGCCGUAAACGAUGAGUACUAAGUGUCGGGAAACCGGUGCCGCAGCAAACGCAAUAAGUAUUCCACCUGGGGAGUACGUUCGCAAGAAUGAAACUCAAAGGAAUUGACGGGGACCCGCACAAGCGGUGGAGCAUGUGGUUUAAUUCGAAGCAACGCGAAGAACCUUACCAAGUCUUGACAUCCCAUUGACCGGGACUUAACCGUCCUUUCUCUUCGGAGCAAUGGAGACAGGUGGUGCAUGGUUGUCGUCAGCUCGUGUCGUGAGAUGUUGGGUUAAGUCCCGCAACGAGCGCAACCCUUGUCCUUAGUAGCCAGCAUUAAGAUGGGCACUCUAGGGAGACUGCCCGGGAUAACCGGGAGGAAGGUGGGGAUGACGUCAAAUCAUCAUGCCCCUUAUGAUUUGGGCUACACACGUGCUACAAUGGCGUAAACAAAGGGAAGCGAGACUGUGAAGUUAAGCAAAUCUCAUAAAUAACGUCUCAGUUCGGAUUGUAGUCUGCAACUCGACUACAUGAAGCUGGAAUCGCUAGUAAUCGCGGAUCAGAAUGCCGCGGUGAAUACGUUCCCGGGUCUUGCACUCACCGCCCGUCA
This 918-nucleotide ribosomal RNA is filed under the name uncultured bacterium. Its description in RNAcentral is "bacterial SSU rRNA". It matches the Rfam family "Bacterial small subunit ribosomal RNA", at positions 470 to 1399 of the family's 1533-position model. The record is from RNAcentral.